GUCAUCGCUUGCUCUCGUUCCCAGGCUUUGGCUUCUAGUGGACGAGAAUCACCGAGUCUGCGGGGCUGGAUGCUGACCGCCCGGACCAGCACCUAGGCGGGCGGGAGCUGUGCGGCCCAGGGUUCGCGCGGGCCGGGUAGAGGCUCGAGCUGGGACCCCCGAGCGUGAACCCCGGAGCCGGCGGCGCUGGGGCCAGAGGGGCCGGGAGCCCCAGGGAGGCGGAUCUGGGCCCCGAGAAGGACACCCGCCUGGAUUUGCCCCGUAGGCCCGGCCCGGGCCCCUCGGGAGCAGAACAGCCUUGGUGAGGUGGACAGGAGGGGACCUCGCGAGCAGACGCGCGCGCCAGCGACAGCAGCCCGCCCCGGCCUCUCGGGAGCCGUGGGGCAGAGGCUGCGGAGCCCCAGGAGGGCCGGAGCCCUCAUGACUUCAGUGACCUGCUUCUGCCCCUCUAGGUCUAUCAGCCACAGUCUCUGCAUGUUUCCAAGAGCAGCAGAAAAUGAACACAUUGCAGGGGCCAGUGUCAUUCAAAGAUGUGGCUGUGGAUUUCACCCAGGAGGAGUGGCGGCAACUGGACCCUGAUGAGAAGAUAACAUACGGGGAUGUGAUGUUGGAGAACUACAGCCAUCUAGUUUCCUUGGCUUAUGAGGUGGCAACAUCUUGUACUUCGGAGAUUCUGAAGCCGAGCAACUUGCCCAAGUCCUUCUUCUUUUCCCAUUAACAAGAUAUGAUAUCACCAAGCCAAACGUCAUCAUUAAGUUGGAGCAGGGAGAGGAGCUGUGGAUAACGGGAGGUGAAUUUCCAUGUCAACAUAGUCCUGGUAAGUUAGUAGAGUAUCAAAUGUUAAAAAAUGCUCAUCCCAGACCUUUGGGAGUGACUAAAGAGUUGUUUAUAUGUAUUCGGUACCCUCAGUAACACCUCCCAACCCCCAAAUAUCACUUUCCUUCCCGCACACAUACAUGAACUCUUUUGUUUAUUUUAUAUUUGAUUUACAUUGGUAGGGAUUUUUUCAUUCUAACCUAUACUGGGGACCCAUUCACUUCCUCUUCCUCCAGCAUUAUCGGUCACUUAUUUACUCCCUCGCCAUUAGAGAAUUGUUGUGGGCUGUUUGUUUUUUUGUUUGGUUUUUGGAGACGGAGUCUUGUUCUGUCACCCAGGCUGAUGUGCACUGGUAUGAUCUCAGCUCACUGCAACCAUCACCUCCCAGGUUCAAGCGAUUCUCCUUCCUCAGCCUCCUGAGUAGCUGGGAUUUCAGGCACAUGCCACCAAGCCUGGCUAAUUUUUGUAUUUUUAGUAGAGACAGGGUUUCACCAUGUUGGCCAUGCUGGUCUUGAACUCCUGGCCUCAAGUGAUCCACCCACCUCAGCCUCCCCAAGUGCUGAGAUUACAGUCCUGAGCCACUGCUCCCGGCCUUACAGAAUUGUUUCAUUUUGGGGCAUUCAGAAGUCUGACAUAAAAAUUAACUUGAGACUUUUAUGUUCAUUCUUUUUAUCUUCCAUUUUCUUUCCUUCCUUGCUUUAAAAAUACCUUGGACUUG
This 1534-nucleotide long non-coding RNA is filed under the name Homo sapiens (human). Its description in RNAcentral is "long non-coding RNA NONHSAT213623.1". The record is from RNAcentral. Lineage: Eukaryota; Metazoa; Chordata; Mammalia; Primates; Hominidae.